AAAUUGUUGCUAGCCUGCGUAAAUUGAUGAAAAAUAACGGCCGUUAUCUUUUAGUGCUGUAGACCGCUACUUAACCAGCAGCACGGAACGCCGACCGAAAGGAACGAUGGUUCCCUCUCCCCCUUCGUGCGGUGCCGCCCCUUGCACUCUAUUCUUCCAAUGCAAGCCUUAGGUAUCGGCGCCAGGCUCUCGCUCUUCCCUCUCGUGAGGUUCCUCCUCACCUUCUUUUGCUUCGAGCGCGCCAUCAACCCCAUCGAUUCGUGGAAGUUCAAGGUCGCCCUCCUUGUCUUCCUUCGCUCCCCUUCUUUCUCCCACUCCCUCCCACCUAGGACUCCUCGUCCGGCGCCGCUGCCCCGACCUCGACGAGCGCAAGCGCGACGACCCCGUGGUGUCCGGGACUCUCUAUGUGGGCGAUCUACGGCUCCUCAGGAACAAGGGGGCAUCGAGAAUGAGGUUCUUGGACUGGAACGGAUAUGAACCUCGCGGCGUCAAGUUCAAGAUGAGCGUGGAGAUCCUCCGAUGAUUUCGAGAAGAUGAAGAAAUCAUGGGUGGAUUAUUGUGCUCCGCAGUUGCUGAAUUGCUGAAGACGAGUUGCCAAGCGACCAGAUACUGCUCGGGGUGUUUCUUCGUGAUGGUUCACCGAGCCAUGAGCUUCAUCGAAUGUCUCAAUGUUGGUCACGCGUACCAUUUUUUCCACAAUGGGUAAGAUAAGCUUGGGACAGAGAUGAAGUUUCCUGGAGUAUAUGGCAGAAGCCUUCUAGAAUUGGAGAAACGGAAAGGGCAGUUCUUCCCUUUGUUGGCUAGAUAUAUAAGAAACGUAACCAGCAUGCAUGAGCCCAAUGUUACAUAUGGUGCCCAGAGGCAAAAGAAGAGAGCCAUAGAUCUAGUGCAUAACUGGAGCAAGCUUCAGUCUUGGGAAUUAGUGCCUAAAAUUCAAGUUUGAUCGGUCGACAACAAGAUAUUUAUUGCUAUUCAGGCAUUUUUAGGAUUUGGUUCUAUUUUAGUUGGCACCCAGUGAAGAUUGAAUGAUGCACGAUUAAGAUAUGUCAAGCAUGCUUUGAGGUUUGGAAUGAUCGGGCUGGCUUUUUCACACAUAAAUCUUCUUUUAUCGGUCUAGUUGUAUCUUGAUUGUCACUGUUGUCACCAUUAACCUUUUUCUGCCACCAUAUGCAGGAAUGAUGGGACUGCAUCAAUCUAGGAGCUAAGCUGGUAGAGCCCGAGGAUACAACAUGCAGGCUUAAAUAGUCUCAGCAUGAAGUAUAAGAAAAGAUUUCUCUUCGACCGGACAAGACUCGCAGAUCCUGAGCUUCAUUUCAUUUACAAAGGGAUUAAGCGACGGACGGCAAAACAAAGUGGAACGAGUGGCAGCGAGUCAAAGGUGUCAUCACGGAGGUCAUGCGAAGGAUGUUGG
Molecule: long non-coding RNA, 1411 nt
Organism: Musa acuminata AAA Group (dessert banana)
Lineage: Eukaryota; Viridiplantae; Streptophyta; Magnoliopsida; Zingiberales; Musaceae
Exons: 5
Source: RefSeq, a predicted model, not a curated record